This 1562-nucleotide long non-coding RNA is filed under the name Macaca fascicularis (crab-eating macaque). RNAcentral's name for it is "lncRNA (ENSMFAG00000050647.1)". The record is from RNAcentral. Lineage: Eukaryota; Metazoa; Chordata; Mammalia; Primates; Cercopithecidae.
CAUUUCUUGAGAUUAUGACAAUUUGAAAAAGACAAAACACAUGGCCUACAGAUAUGAAAAAUUAACAAUAAUCUAAGUAUGUCGUGAAUGCAUAAAAUACAUGUAGACAUUAGUCUUUUUAUCAUUUACUACCAUAACAUACACAUAAAUUUAUAGAAAGAUAAAAUUCAUCAAAACUUAGGCACACAUAUACUUAGAGACUUUACAUGGCAACAUUUGCAAUAGAGAGACAUGUAAAUAAAUGUAAAGAUUCAGUAUUAAGUCAUAACUGCAUAAAAUUAACUGUAGUGCAUACUAUGCUACUGUAAUAAUUUUCCAGCCACCUCCUGUUGCUAUUGCAGUGAACUCAAUUGUUGGGGGUAUCUGCUCAAAUGCCAGAUGACACCAAUCAUCUCCAUGCAAGCAGUUCAUUUCUCUAGUAAAUUGUAUGUAACAGUAAGAAGUGUUUGUCCAUAGUUCUGCAUUUUUCAUUGUGUUUAAUGCAGUACCUUAAACCUGGCAUAACACCAUGCGACCCAUACGAAGUGUCACUAGUGAUGCUGGAAGUGCUCCCAGGAAGCGGAUAGGUCAUGACAUUAUAAGAAAAAGCUGAAUUCCUUGACAUGUAGCACAGAUCGAAGUCUGCAACUGGGGUUGCCCCCCAUUUCAGACAGAUGAUUCAUCUAGGAAAUAGACAAUGUAAACUUAUUGUAUGGACAAAGACAGUAAAGUACUGCAAAUGUAUUUUCUUUUCCUUGUGAUUUUCCUAAUAACAUUUUCUUUUCCCUCGCUUAUCUUAUUAUAAGAAUAUGGUGUGCAAUACAUGUAACAUAGAAAAUAUGUGUUGACUGUUUAUGUAUAUGCAAAUUAUUGACAAUUUGGGGGAUGGCACCCCUAACUCCCGUGUUAUUCAAGGGUCAAUUGUACAUCAAGUAUUAAAACACUGAAAUAAAUUUUGUAAUUGUAUUGGCUUUUUACCAAAAGUGUAUAAUUUGCAAUUCUGACUUUCCUUCACUUACUGUUGCGAGUAAAAAAGAUGACACUAAUGUAUUUCUUUUCAUUAGAAAAAUAGUUCAUCGUCUUCCAGGUUAGGAAGGGAAAGAACCAAAGAGUGGAAUUUUAGUUAAAUUUUAAUUGAUUUUUAAAUUGUCUAAAUUCCAAAAAUCUAAUAUUUUAUAUAAUUAAUUUUAAUCUAAGUUAUAAGCAUUUCUUCAAAGCUUUCUUCAAUAUCUCCAAAUUUGUUCACAGGUAGUGUGUGCCUCCAUGCAUGCAUAUGUAUGUAUUAUUUGUUCCUUAAUAUAAAACUAUUCUUAGGAUUUAUGUUGUGAGGAUUGCCUUAUAGAUGACACAUAAUUUAAUAAAAGAUCCUUCAAUCACUGGAUAAACUAACAUCCUUCUUGUGUCCAAGAUACAAUUAUGCAUAGUUUUAUGAAAGAGUGACUUUUUAUUUAAGACAACAGCAAAUUAUUAAGUUAGAUGUAAUUUUAGUUACAACUUGGCUAAAAUCUACCUAUAAACAAUGUUAAAAAUUGUCAGAAUAAAAAUAGAGUCACUUGUGUUAAAAAACAAAAAAAAAAAAAAAA